RNAcentral lists this ribosomal RNA (497 nucleotides) under uncultured bacterium. RNAcentral describes it as "partial 16S ribosomal RNA". It matches the Rfam family "Bacterial small subunit ribosomal RNA", at positions 28 to 507 of the family's 1533-position model. The record is from RNAcentral.
GAUGAACGCUGGCGGCGUGCCUAAUACAUGCAAGUCGAGCGAACAGACGAGGAGCUUGCUCCUCUGACGUUAGCGGCGGACGGGUGAGUAACACGUUGAUAACCUACCUAUAAGACUGGGAUACCUUCGGGAAACCGGAGCUAAUACCGGAUAAUAUAUUGAACCGCAUGGUUCAAUAGUGAAAGACGGUUUUGCUGUCACUUAUAGAUGGAUCCGCGCCGCAUUAGCUAGUUGGUAAGGUAACGGCUUACCAAGGCAACGAUGCGUAGCCGACCUGAGAGGGUGAUCGGCCACACUGGAACUGAGACACGGUCCAGACUCCUACGGGAGGCAGCAGUAGGGAAUCUUCCGCAAUGGGCGAAAGCCUGACGGAGCAACGCCGCGUGAGUGAUGAAGGUCUUCGGAUCGUAAAACUCUGUUAUUAGGGAAGAACAAAUGUGUAAGUAACUAUGCACGUCUUGACGGUACCUAAUCAGAAAGCCACGGCUAACUACGUG